ACGGGGGGUGCAAGCGUUGUUCGGAAUCAUUGGGCGUAAAGCGCGCGCAGGCGGCUUGGUAAGUCAGAUGUGAAAUCCCUGGGCUUAACCCAGGAAGUGCAUUUGAUACUGCCUCGCUAGAGUACGGGAGAGGAAAGUGGAAUUCCUGGUGUAGAGGUGAAAUUCGUAGAUAUCAGGAGGAACACCGGUGGCGAAGGCGACUUUCUGGCCCGAUACUGACGCUCAGGCGCGAAAGCGUGGGGAGCAAACAG
RNAcentral lists this ribosomal RNA (251 nucleotides) under uncultured bacterium. RNAcentral describes it as "partial 16S ribosomal RNA". It matches the Rfam family "Bacterial small subunit ribosomal RNA", at positions 525 to 775 of the family's 1533-position model. RNAcentral also lists the same sequence under 1 other name. The record is from RNAcentral.